RNAcentral lists this ribosomal RNA (411 nucleotides) under uncultured Pseudomonadota bacterium. Its description in RNAcentral is "bacterial SSU rRNA". It matches the Rfam family "Bacterial small subunit ribosomal RNA", at positions 67 to 480 of the family's 1533-position model. Lineage: Bacteria; Pseudomonadati; Pseudomonadota. The record is from RNAcentral.
CGAGAAAGUAUCUUCGGAUGCGAGUACAGUGGCGGACGGGUGAGUAAUACAUAGGAAUCUACCCAAUGGAGGGGGAUAGCUCGAGGAAACUCGAAUUAAUACCGCAUAAUCUCCACGGAGUAAAGAGGGCUUCGGCUCUCGCCAUCGGAUGAGCCUAUGCAAGAUUAGCUUGUUGGUAAGGUAAUGGCUUACCAAGGCUACGAUCUUUAGCUGGUUUGAGAGGACGACCAGCCACAUCGGGACUGAGACACGGCCCGGACUUCUACGGAAGGCAGCAGUAGGGAAUAUUGGACAAUGAGCGAAAGCUUGAUCCAGCCAUGCCGCGUGUGCGAUGAAGACCUUAGGGUUGUAAAGCACUUUAGGUUAUGAGAAAAGAUUUGGUAUUAAUACCACCAAAUUUUGAUGUUAAUU